GGAGCACUACUGACCCUGCCUUGGGCCUUGCUGCUGCUGCACCCAACUACUGAGCUGAGACCACUGAGUACCAGGCGCUGGGCUCCCUGAUGACACCCACCCUGUGCCAUCACCAUAACCUCUGGGGACCCCAACCUCAGAGGCAGCUUCAAGUGCCUUUUGCUGCGCACCAACGCCCAGCAGGGGAGUUGUGUUGAGACAGAGUCUCACUCUGUUGCCCAGGCUGGAGUACAGUGGUGCAAACACAGUUCACUGCAGUGGCAACCUCCCAGGUUCCAGUGAUCCUCCUGCCUCAGCCCCCUGAGUGGCGGGGACUACAGGUGUGAACACUGUGCCCAGCUAAUUUAUUAAAUUUUGUUGUAGAGA
RNAcentral lists this small RNA (366 nucleotides) under Pan troglodytes (chimpanzee). Its description in RNAcentral is "processed transcript". Lineage: Eukaryota; Metazoa; Chordata; Mammalia; Primates; Hominidae. The record is from RNAcentral.